GGGUCAGUAGGUUGGUCGUGCCACCGGUACGUACUGGUCUCACUGAUUCCUCCUUCCUGAAGAACCGUAAUGCCAUUAAUUUGGUGUUGCGGGGAAACAGGACUGUUACUUUGAAAAAUUAAAGUGUUUAAAGCAAGCUAACGCUUGAAUACAUUAGCAUGGAAUAAUGAAAUAGGACGAUCGAUCCUAUUUUGUUGGUUUCUAGGAUUGACGUA
This 215-nucleotide ribosomal RNA is filed under the name Glomeromycotina sp. RNAcentral describes it as "partial small subunit ribosomal RNA". The stretch from base 40 to 215 matches the Rfam family "Eukaryotic small subunit ribosomal RNA", at positions 686 to 864 of the family's 1831-position model. Lineage: Eukaryota; Fungi; Glomeromycota. The record is from RNAcentral.